GUGCGCGGCGGGUGUCUCAGCCGCUUCCUGUCAGCGCCAGGAGUGGGGAUUCCCGGGGUCCCCGGCAGGUACCUGGACAGCUCAGGUUCUCGCAAGGCCGUUUCUCAGGGACGCCGGCCUCGCCACUGACGUAGCACCAGGGCCCGCGCGGGUCCUCGUCCGGGUUUCGGCAGUAACUGUGAUUGCCGGCCCCUGAGAGGAGAGAAGGAAAUGUGUGCCGGGUCUGGGACCUGGACCGCGGCCGCCGCCCGCCAGCCCCGGCGCCGUCCCCCGGAGGACACCUACCUGACACGGGGGCCGAGGCCAGCCCGCUCUGCGCGUCCAGCCAGUUGAGGCAGCGGAGGCCAGGCGCGGGGGAGGUCUGGUCCUCCCGGUACAGGUGGCCGUUGUCCCAGAAACAGCCUGUGAGGAAGAGAAGCCCCCGGACACAGAGUAGCCGGCAGCGAACGGAAGACGCCCAGCGUGGCGGGCAGGGGAGCCGGGACCACCCGGAUCGAGCCUCAGCUUGGUUAGGGGACCCCGGGCCCUACUGGGCCUCCCUCUCCUCUCGUGGCAACACCCUCAUGCCCCACGCCCCCCCCCGCCCAACUCCACACACACCUCAGGGUGUGAAGCCCCUAGCCUGUGCCUGGCCCCCAGUCAACGCUCAGAGACUGUUAGGUUUUAUUUAUUUUUGAAAUCUGGAAAGCGCUGCAGAAGUGCAAAGGAUUGUUACUCUUGAACUUGUGACCACUUUGGAGGAGGAGAUGGAGAGGAGGAGGCCUGGCUUAGGGUCCCUUUGAGGAGAUGGGAGUUUUGGGACGGUGGGCGCCCAGACGUGACAUUUAUCCCCGUGUUGUAAUGGCCACGUUACAUAAACUCCGGUGUUUUCUCCUCCACGGAUACGGCCACCUUCUGCCCGUUUAACAGGCAAUACUCCCUCCCAGGAGAAUUCUCCAGGAGCCUUGACUCCGUCAGGCAAAAGAUUCAAGACAACCUCAAACGGAGGAAACUGCCUCAUCGCUGACUGGAUGAGACUCCAAGCUCCUACUCCCCUCUGCAGGAGAACCACAGAAGGAGGCUGGGGAAGGAGGACCACACCAUGCAAAGGGCUUAGAAAGAACAGGACUUGGGGAGUAGGGGAGAUGAACCCCCAAGCUCCAUCCACUCAUGAGCAAGGAAAGGCAAAGAGAAAGUGGCUUCUUGCCUUUGUUCUUAAUGGCAAAGAUGGAGCUGCAAGCCCCUGACUAGGAAAGGAGGGGUGGAAAAGCUUUCACAGGACAACAGAAACCGGCUAAACGCUCCGUUUCCUGUCAUCCUGGCCCUGUUCGGGAAAUAGGGGGCUUUACCCCUUCUGUGUCAUGAAGUUGCUCCGGAAAGGAAAGAUUGUAGUCUCACCUCCAGAUCCAUAGGCUUCUGCUAGGAGCAUGUUGCUAACGAGGAAUGCUUGUACCCAGGCCAACAGCAUCCUUGCCUCCUUCGUCUUGCAGGUGAUUGAACGACCAGUGUUUAACCGAGGCCCCCUUGGCGGCGGCGGCUCUGCCUCCCAGUCCCAGGCUUGCAGUCAGACCUGCCCUUGUUAUGCUGUUCUGGUAAACAGCCUCUCUUUAGAACUGGGAGCUUCCCAGCUAGCUUGCUGCAGCGCGAGCUGUUUUUCAGCUGAAAGGCGCCCCCUGGGUCCUAAGCCUCCUAGGUCAUGCAAAAUCUAACUCUGAGCCAAGAAAGGAACUCAGCCAAGAGAUAUGCAGGUUGUGCUUAACAGCCGAUCAGUUUGAGACCUGCGAGGCCGCAUCCCCAGGGUUUUUCAUCUCUUCUGUUUCCAUUUGUGUUUCACUCUGUUGCCCAGGCUGGAGUGCAGUGGCACAAUCUUGGCUCACUGCGGCACAAUCUCGGCUCACUGCAAUCUCCACCUCCCAAGCUGAAGUGAUUCUCCUGUCUCAGCCUCCCAAGUAGCUGGGACUACAGUCUCACUCCUCUGUCACCCAGGCUGGAGUGCAGUGGCACACUCACGCCUCACUGCCGCCUCAACCUCUUGUGCUCAAGCGAUCCUCCCAAGUAGCUUGGACUACAGAAAGUGGACUGUGGCCAAAUGAAUCUCUCCAGACUCCAGCCAGCUGAGGGCGUCAGGAAGAGGGUUAAUGAUGUCAAGACACUAAGGGCAGAUGCCCUCCUCUUCUCUCCAAUCCCAAGCCCCAACCACCAGCAUAAUUCCGCUUAAAGUUGAACGUGGAAAAUGGGCAUUUGUUUUACUUCAGGACAAAGGGGUAAGCACGUGACUCUCCCCAAUACACAAGGAAGGGAAAUGAAUCCAGAAGAACCCCAGGGCAUGAAUAUUACCAUUAGACUUAGGUAAGUAUAGCUGUGAAAUGGUCAUGAUAAAGAAAUGUUUGGGGUAGGCACAGUGGCUCAUGCCUGUAAUCCCAGCAUUAUGGGAGGCCAAGGCAGGAGGAUUGCUUGAGCCCAGGAGUUCAAGACCAGCCUAGGCAACAUAAUGAGACCUCAUCUCUACAAAAGUUUUCUUUUUAAUUAGUCAAGUAUGGUGGCACAUGCCUGUAGUCCCAGCUACUUGGGAGGCUGAGGUGGGAAGAUCACUUGAGCCCAGGAGGUGGAGAUGGCAGUGAGCCAUGAUCACACCACUACACUCCAGCCUGGGCAACAGGACAAGACCCUGUCGCCAAAAAAAAAAAAAAAGUCUAAUGCCCACUCAUGAUAAAACUCUCAGUAAACUUCGUCAGCUUGAUAAAGAAUACCUACAAAACCUACAGCUAACGUACUUAAUAGUGAGAAACCAGAAGCUUUCUUACUAAGAUCAGGAACAAGGCAACAGUGUGCCCUCUCAUCACCUCUUUUCAACAUCGUACUGGAAGUCCUAGCUAACGUAAUAAGACAAAAAAAGGAAAUAGAAGGUAUACAGACUGGGGAGGAAGAAAUCAAGCUGUUUUUGUUCACAGACGACAUGACCAUCUCUGUAGAAAAUCUGAAAGAUGAAUGAUGAAGCCUUGGGAGAUGUUAAAAAAGAAAAAGGAAAGGAGGACAGGACAGGAAAGGAAAAAGGAAAGGGAAGUGGUGAGGGGAAGGGGAAGGAAGGGAAAGGAAAGAUCUGAAAGAAUUGACAGAAAAACUCCUGGAACUAAUAAGUGAUUACAUCAACGUUGCAGGUUAUAAGGUCAAUAUACAAAACUCAAUUGUUUUCCUAUAUACCAGCAAUGAAUUAGUGGAAUUUGAAAUAAAAAACACAUUUAUAUUACCACCCCCCAAAAUUUGUAUAAACCUAACAAAAUAUGUACAAGAUCUGUAUGAAAAAAACUACAAAACUCUGAUGAACAAAAUAAAAAAAGAACUAAAUGGAGAUAUAUUCCAUGGUACAUGGAUAGGAAGACUCAUUAUUGUCAAAAUGUCCGUUCUUCCCAACUUGAUCUAUAGAUCAAAGCAAUCCCAAUCAAAAUCCCAGAAGUUAUUUUGUGGAUAUCAACAAAUUGAUUCUAAAGUUUAUACAGAGAGGCAAAAGUCCCAGAAUAGCUAACAUAAUAUUGAAGGAGAAGAAUAAAGUUAGAAGACUGACACUACCUGACUUUGAGACUUAUAAACCUACAGGAAUGAAGGCAGUGUGAUAUUUGUGAAAGGAUAGACAAACAGAUCAAUUGAACAGAAUGGAGAGGCCAGAAAUAGACCCACAUAAAUAUAGUGGAAGGAAUAAAUAUAGUGGAAGGAAGCAAAGGCAAUACAAUGGAACAAAGAUAAUUUUUUCAACAAAUGGUGCUGGAACAACUGGACAUCCACGUGCAAAAAAUUAAUCUAGACACACACCUUAUACUCUUCACAAAAAUUAACUCAAAAUGGAUCAUAGACCUAAAUGUAAAACACAAGCUAAAUAUAAACUCUGAGAGGAUAACAGAAGAAAACCUUGGAUAUGGUUAUUACUUUUUCGGUACAACACUCAAAGGCAUGAACCAUGAAAUAAAUAACUGACAAUCUAGACUUCAUUAAAAUUAAAAAUUUCUCUUCUGUGAAAGACCAUGUCACAAGAAUGAGAAGAUGAUGGCUGGGCACAGUGGCUCAUGCCUGUAAUCCCAGCACUUUGGGAGGCCGAGGUGGGCGGAUCAUGAGGUCAGGAGAUCGAGACCAUCCUGGCUAACACGGUGAAACCCCGUCUCUACUAAAAAAAAAAUACAAAAAUUAGCCGGCCGUGGUGGCGGGCGCCUGUAGUCCCAGCUACUUGGGAGGCUGAGGCAGGAGAAUGGCAUGAACCCAGGAGGCGGAGCUUGCAGUGAGCCAAGAUCACGCCACUGCACUCCAGCCUAGGUGACAGAGCAAGACUCCGUCUCAAAAAAAAAAAAAAAAGAAUGAGAAGAUGAGCAUGAGCAUAGACUGGAGAAAAUAUUUGCAAAAGACACAUCUGAUAAAGGACUGUUAUCCAAAAUAUGCAUAAGAACUCUUAAAACUCAACAAUAGGCCGGGCAUAGUGGCUCACGCCUGUAAUCCCAGCACUUUGGCAGGCCAAGGUGGGCGGAUCACGAGGUCAAGACAUAGAGACCAUCCUGGCCAACAUGGUGAAACCCCAUCUCUACUAAAAAUACAAAAAUUAGCUGGGCAUGGUGGUGCAUGCCUGUAGUCCCAGCUACUUGGGAGGCUGAGGCGGGAGAAUCACUUGAACCCAGGAGGCAGAGGUUGCAGUGAGCCGAGAUCACGCCACCGCACUCCAGCCUGGCAACAGAGUGAGACUCCAUCUCUAAAUAAAUAAAUAAAUAAUAAAAUAAAACAAUGCAUUUUAAAAAUGGACCAAAGACCUUAACAGACACCUCACCAAAGAAGAUAUACAGAUGGCAUAUAAGCGUAUGAAAAGAUGCUGCACAUCAUAUGUUAUCAGAGAAAUGCAAAUUUAAACAACGAUUAGAUACUACUACACAUCUAUCAGAAUGGCCAAAAUCAAGACAACAGAUGAUGACAAGGAUGUAGAGCAACAGGAACUUUCAUUCAUUGCUGGUAGGAAUGCAAAAUUGAUGGUACAGACACUUUGGAGAACAGUUUGGCGUUUUCUUACAAAACUAAACAUACUCUUACCAUGUGAUUCAGUAAUCACAGUCCUUGGUAUUUUCACAAACAAAUUGAAAACUUAAGUCCACACAACAGCCUCCACACACAGGUUUACAGCAGCUUUAUUCAUAAUUGCCAAAACUUGGAAACAAUCAAGAUGUCCUUCAGUAGGUAAAUAAAUGAAUAUACUAUGGUACAUCCAAACAAUGAAAUAUUACUGACUGCCAAAAGGAAAUGAGCUAUCAGGCUGCAUGU
This is a long non-coding RNA of Pongo pygmaeus (Bornean orangutan), 5268 nucleotides long. RefSeq lists it as uncharacterized. The record is from RefSeq and is a predicted model, not a curated record. NCBI's taxonomy places the organism in Eukaryota, Metazoa, Chordata, Mammalia, Primates, Hominidae. The transcript is spliced from 4 exons.